GUGAUAACCCUCCUGAUUUUUAUGUCAGCCAAGGUUACUACCAAGCUGUAGGAGCUCACUGAAUAAACCACUGAACACUGGGAAUUCUCCCACUAUAUCACAAUUACAGAAGCAGAGGUGCUAGGUGGUCUCCUAUUGACUGAAACACAGAACAGGGACACCUGUGAGAUCGCAUUUCUGAGGUGUGCUGAAUGCCAUUGAAGCUCAUUGACUCCUUGAAUCAUCACCUCAUGCAAACACACCUCAGAAGAUCAAAAAGCUGCAGGCUGUGAUCUUCCUGAGAGGAUCUGCAGAUGGCUGCCAUUUAUCUAGACAGAUGAACUCAUUAACAGGAGAAGGAGAAGCAGAGACACACGGACUGACAUUUCUACUGUGUGGUUUGAAUCUACAGUGUAAUGCCCAGGGUCUCUACUGCCCUUGGGAUGCUCAUCUGUGCAGUGGUUUCACAGUGUCAAAAAAUUCAAGAAGUACUUCAAAUUCUGAACAGGUAUAUUCAAACUUUUUCUGUGAUAAAAGGUAUAAAUGCUGAAGACAUCUGAAGUGACUUUUGGUGGGUUUCUACAAAAAUCAGAACAUUUUUGAACUCUUUAUCUCUGUGAUGCGAAGGAAGUUUUCCUUUGCUUUGCUCUUGGAUGUCUACAUUUCUGCUGCCCUUAGCAUGUGAAGUUCUCCUCAUGACUGUGUCCUUUGCUGAACUUUUCAACUCUGCCACUGGCAUCAAAAUACAUUUUAGAUUUUCCUCUGACUCUCUGCUAGCAAAUAUCCUUCUAUGCUCACCCUGUAUCAUGGAGGUGAAUAUCUCUCCAUGGGUUGCAUAGUUCAUUGCAGAGUCUCUCUAAUUUAGGAUGCAUUUUUACU
This is a long non-coding RNA of Parus major (Great Tit), 858 nucleotides long. RefSeq lists it as uncharacterized. The transcript is spliced from 4 exons. The record is from RefSeq and is a predicted model, not a curated record. NCBI's taxonomy places the organism in Eukaryota, Metazoa, Chordata, Aves, Passeriformes, Paridae.